AGAUUGAACGCUGGCGGCAGGCCUAACACAUGCAAGUCGAGCGGCAGCACGGGUACUUGUACCUGGUGGCGAGCGGCGGACGGGUGAGUAAUGCCUAGGAAUCUGCCUGGUAGUGGGGGAUAACGCUCGGAAACGGCGCUAAUACCGCAUACGUCCUACGGGAGAAAGCGAGGGGACCUUCGGGCCUUGCGCUAUCAGAUGAGCCUAGGUCGGAUUAGCUAGGUUGGUGAGGUAAUGGCUCACCGAAGGCACGUAUCCGUAAUGGUCUAGAGAGGUAUGGACUCGAGUCACACGUAGGAACUGA
RNAcentral lists this ribosomal RNA (304 nucleotides) under uncultured soil bacterium. RNAcentral's name for it is "bacterial SSU rRNA". It matches the Rfam family "Bacterial small subunit ribosomal RNA", at positions 26 to 322 of the family's 1533-position model. The record is from RNAcentral.